Drosophila obscura is the source of this 710-nucleotide long non-coding RNA. RefSeq lists it as uncharacterized. Lineage: Eukaryota; Metazoa; Arthropoda; Insecta; Diptera; Drosophilidae. The record is from RefSeq and is a predicted model, not a curated record. The transcript has 2 exons.
GUAUAUGUGCACUUUUUAAUUUGCUUAUAUUUUCUAUAAACGUAACGGUAUAUUUUUUGUAGGUAUGCAAGUUUGUACUCUUAUCUAUUAUAAAGAUCUCCCACUCCAAUGUUCCUCUUUGCGCUUCAUUCUUUGUACCGUUUUAAAUAAUAUGUGUAACAACUCGUGGUUUUCAAAGGCAAUAAGUAUAUGUGCAAGCUUAGAUUAUUGUGCUAUCGCGUGCGGGUAAGCUAAGAAGUGUGAUCCAAAAAAGUUAUUUAAUCAGCAGAAUAAUGCCACGUGGAACACAUUUGUCGGAGGGAGAUCGCGGUCUGAUCAAAGGGCUGGCCGAAUCUGGCAAGAAUACUUCUUAUAUUGCCGCUAGACUAAAUCGGCAUAGAAACACAAUAGCAAACUUUCUCAAAAAUCCGGAAAUGUAUGGAAAAAUAAAGCGAAGCGGCAGACCCACUGAAAUCGAUACGCGGUGCAAGAGGCAAAUUCGUCGUCUAGCCGUUCAAAACAACAAGUCUUGCAUGGAGAUCAAAGGUCAACUGAAGCUUGACAUAUCCAAAAGACGUAUAAAUCAAAUUUUAAACGAAACCGAAAUGGUUACAUAUGCUUCCCGCGACGCUGUACCGAGGUUAUUGAAGCGCCACAUAACCGCUCGACUAGAAUUUGCUGAGAAGUACAAAUUUUGGUCAGAGGAGUUCACUAAAGUUAUAUUUUCGGAU